GCUGGUUCUAGAAGCAACAGGUCAAGAAGCCUGCUGACAAAGCCAGAACAAUCUUGUUGCAGGUCGGAUUUAAGCAUUUAUUUCUCUACCAGUCAAAGUCUUCUAGCAGCCAACUUGCCACACCAAGGAAUAUCAGAGACGGGGCAUUGCGCUAUGUUGCCCAUGCUGGUCUCAAACUCCGGGCCUCAAGUGUUCCUCCUGUCUCAACCUCCUGAAGUGCUGGAAUUUACGGGCAUGUGCCACUGCACUUGGCUCUUAUGUUUCAUUCUGUCUCAGCUUUGAAGCGUGGAAUAGAUAGGCCUCUGGAUCAGGGCUUUUAAUGAUUAUGGCUAAGCCUUAGCUAAAAAAGGUCACGGUGGAGAGGCCUAAGUCUGUGUUUUUAUUAC
This 386-nucleotide long non-coding RNA is filed under the name Homo sapiens (human). Its description in RNAcentral is "LHRI_LNC1185.1". The record is from RNAcentral. Lineage: Eukaryota; Metazoa; Chordata; Mammalia; Primates; Hominidae.